UACGGGGGGGGUAAGCGUUGUUCGGAAUUACUGGGCGUAAAGGGCGCGUAGGCGGCACUGUUAGUCAGGCGUGAAAUUCCUGGGCUCAACCUGGGGACUGCGCUUGAUACGGCAGAGCUUGAGGAUGGAAGAGGGUCGCGGAAUUCCCAGUGUAGAGGUGAAAUUCGUAGAUAUUGGGAAGAACACCGGUGGCGAAGGCGGCGACCUGGUCCAUUACUGACGCUGAGGCGCGACAGCGUGGGGAGCAAACAGG
RNAcentral lists this ribosomal RNA (253 nucleotides) under uncultured bacterium. RNAcentral describes it as "partial 16S ribosomal RNA". It matches the Rfam family "Bacterial small subunit ribosomal RNA", at positions 524 to 776 of the family's 1533-position model. The record is from RNAcentral.